RNAcentral lists this unclassified non-coding RNA (335 nucleotides) under uncultured fungus. RNAcentral describes it as "sequence contains ITS1". The stretch from base 1 to 106 matches the Rfam family "5.8S ribosomal RNA", at positions 50 to 154 of the family's 154-position model. Lineage: Eukaryota; Fungi. The record is from RNAcentral.
GAAAUGCGAUACGUAAUGCGAAUUGCAGAAUUCAGUGAAUCAUCAAAUCUUUGAACGCAAAUUGCGCUUCUUGGAUAGGCCAGGAAGCAUGCCUCUUUGAGUAUCGUUUUCACCCCAGCUCGACUGCUUAUUUGUGUAACAACAAAUGAGUUUAAGUCGGAGAAUGAGUUUGUCUUGUCUGAAAAGAUAAGUCACUUUAAAUGCUGUGAGUUUUGAUUAACGUAUACAUCAGUUUAGUGUCUUCGCAAGAAGGCUUGAUUAGUGUUCUAAUCGCUGUUGUAAUGUGGAUAAAUCUUAUUUACAUUAUUAUGCAAUGAUUGGAGUAUUAGUUAAAG